UGGCUCAGAACGAACGCUGGCGGCAUGCCUUACACAUGCAAGUCGAACGGUAACGCGGGGCAACCUGGCGACGAGUGGCGAACGGGUGAGUAAUAUAUCGGAACGUGCCCAGUAGUGGGGGAUAGCCCGGCGAAAGCCGGAUUAAUACCGCAUACGACCUACGGGUGAAAGCGGGGGAUCGCAAGACCUCGCGCUAUUGGAGCGGCCGAUAUCAGAUUAGCUAGUUGGUGGGGUAAAGGCCUGCCAAGGCGACGAUCUGUAGCUGGUCUGAGAGGACGACCGGCCACUUUGUCCCUGAGACACGGACCAGACUCCUACGG
RNAcentral lists this ribosomal RNA (320 nucleotides) under uncultured bacterium. Its description in RNAcentral is "bacterial SSU rRNA". It matches the Rfam family "Bacterial small subunit ribosomal RNA", at positions 20 to 344 of the family's 1533-position model. The record is from RNAcentral.